This 466-nucleotide ribosomal RNA is filed under the name uncultured bacterium. Its description in RNAcentral is "partial 16S ribosomal RNA". It matches the Rfam family "Bacterial small subunit ribosomal RNA", at positions 28 to 507 of the family's 1533-position model. The record is from RNAcentral.
GACGAACGCUGGCGGCGUGCUUAACACAUGCCAGUCGAACGGAAAGGCCCUGCUUGCAGGGUACUCGAGUGGCGAACGGGUGAGUAACACGUGGGUGGUCUGCCCUGCACUUCGGGAUAAGCUUGGGAAACUGGGUCUAAUACCGGAUAGGAACCAUCUUUAGUGUGGUGGUUGGAAAGUUUUUUCGGUGUAGGAUGAGCUCGCGGCCUAUCAGCUUGUUGGUGGGGUAAUGGCCUACCAAGGCGGCGACGGGUAGCCGGCCUGAGAGGGUGUACGGCCAAAUUGGGACGGAGAUACGGCCCAGACUCCUACGGGAGGCAGCAGUGGGGAAUAUGGCACAAUGGGCGCAAGCCUGAUGCAGCGACGCCGCGUGGGGGAUGAAGGCCUUCGGGUUGUAAACUCCUGUCGCUAGGGACGAAGCUUUGUUGUGACGGUACCUAGAUAAGAAGCACCGGCUAACUACGUG